AGAGUUUGAUCCUGGCUCAGGACGAACGCUGGCGGUGUGCUUCACACAUGCAAGUCGAGCGAAUGAAGUAGGUAGCUUGCUACUUAUGGAUUUAGCGGCGGACGGGUGAGUAAUAUAUAGGAAUCUGCCUUAGAGCGGGGAACAACAGACCGAAAGGUUUGCUAAUGCCCCAUAGGUAUGCAGUCUUCGGAUUGUAUAUUAAAGGAGUAAUCCACUCUAAGAUGAGCCUGUAUCCGAUUAGCUAGUUGGCGGGGUAAAGGCCCACCAAGGCUACGAUCGGUAGUUGGUCUGAGAGGAUGAUCAGCCACAAUGGGACUGAGACACGGCCCAUACUCCUACGGGAGGCAGCAGUGGGGAAUUUUACACAAUGGGGGAAACCCUGAUGUAGCGACACCGCGUGAACGAAGAAGCCUUUUGGGGUGUAAAGUUCUGUCGGCUGGAACGAAAAAAAUGACGGUACCAGCAAAGGAAGCAUCGGCUAACUACGUGCCAGCAGCCGCGGUAAGACGUAGGAUGCAAGCGUUGUCCGGAUUUAUUGGGCGUAAAGAGUUCGUAGGCGGUUAUUUAAGUCUGGUGUUAAAUACUGUGGCCCAACCACAGAACUGCAUUGGAUACUGGAUGACUUGAGUGCGGUAGAGGCAAGUGGAAUUCCCAGUGUAGCGGUGAAAUGCGUAGA
RNAcentral lists this ribosomal RNA (676 nucleotides) under uncultured bacterium. Its description in RNAcentral is "bacterial SSU rRNA". It matches the Rfam family "Bacterial small subunit ribosomal RNA", at positions 8 to 694 of the family's 1533-position model. The record is from RNAcentral.